Molecule: ribosomal RNA, 767 nt
Filed under: Alteromonadales bacterium HOT3B10
Lineage: Bacteria; Pseudomonadati; Pseudomonadota; Gammaproteobacteria; Alteromonadales
Description: bacterial SSU rRNA
Rfam family: Bacterial small subunit ribosomal RNA
Source: RNAcentral
GUCGAACGGUAACAUUUCUAGCUUGCUAGAAGAUGACGAGUGGCGGACGGGUGAGUAAUGCUUGGGAACUUGCCUUUGCGAGGGGGAUAACAGUUGGAAACGACUGCUAAUACCGCAUAAUGUCUUCGGACCAAACGGGGCUUCGGCUCCGGCGCAAAGAGAGGCCCAAGUGAGAUUAGCUAGUUGGUAAGGUAACGGCUUACCAAGGCGACGAUCUCUAGCUGUUCUGAGAGGAAGAUCAGCCACACUGGGACUGAGACACGGCCCAGACUCCUACGGGAGGCAGCAGUGGGGAAUAUUGCACAAUGGGGGAAACCCUGAUGCAGCCAUGCCGCGUGUGUGAAGAAGGCCUUCGGGUUGUAAAGCACUUUCAGUUGUGAGGAAAAGUUAGUAGCUAAUACCUGCUAGCCGUGACGUUAACAACAGAAGAAGCACCGGCUAACUCCGUGCCAGCAGCCGCGGUAAUACGGAGGGUGCGAGCGUUAAUCGGAAUUACUGGGCGUAAAGCGCACGCAGGCGGUUUGUUAAGCUAGAUGUGAAAGCCCCGGGCUCAACCUGGGAUGGUCAUUUAGAACUGGCAGACUAGAGUCUUGGAGAGGGGAGUGGAAUUCCAGGUGUAGCGGUGAAAUGCGUAGAUAUCUGGAGGAACAUCAGUGGCGAAGGCGACUCCCUGGCCAAAGACUGACGCUCAUGUGCGAAAGUGUGGGUAGCGAACAGGAUUAGAUACCCUGGUAGUCCACACCGUAAACGCUGUCUACUAGCUGUGU